AGAGUUUUGAAUCUGGCUCAGAUUGAACGCUGGCGGCAGGCCUAACACAUGCAAGUCGAACGGUAGCACAGAGAGCUUGCUCUCGGGUGACGAGUGGCGGACGGGUGAGUAAUGUCUGGGAAACUGCCUGAUGGAGGGGGAUAACUACUGGAAACGGUAGCUAAUACCGCAUAAUGUCGCAAGACCAAAGAGGGGGACCUUCGGGCCUCUUGCCAUCAGAUGUGCCCAGAUGGGAUUAGCUAGUAGGUGGGGUAACGGCUCACCUAGGCGACGAUCCCUAGCUGGUCUGAGAGGAUGACCAGCCACACUGGAACUGAGACACGGUCCAGACUCCUACGGGAGGCAGCAGUGGGGAAUAUUGCACAAUGGGCGCAAGCCUGAUGCAGCCAUGCCGCGUGUAUGAAGAAGGCCUUCGGGUUGUAAAGUACUUUCAGCGGGGAGGAAGGUGUUGUGGUUAAUAACCACAGCAAUUGACGUUACCCGCAGAAGAAGCACCGGCUAACUCCGUGCCAGCAGCCGCGGUAAUACGGAGGGUGCAAGCGUUAAUCGGAAUUACUGGGCGUAAAGCGCACGCAGGCGGUCUGUCAAGUCGGAUGUGAAAUCCCCGGGCUCAACCUGGGAACUGCAUUCGAAACUGGCAGGCUGGAGUCUUGUAGAGGGGGGUAGAAUUCCAGGUGUAGCGGUGAAAUGCGUAGAGAUCUGGAGGAAUACCGGUGGCGAAGGCGGCCCCCUGGACAAAGACUGAUGCACAUUUCGGGCCCGGUUUUGAGUUUG
RNAcentral lists this ribosomal RNA (774 nucleotides) under Enterobacter sp. RNAcentral describes it as "bacterial SSU rRNA". It matches the Rfam family "Bacterial small subunit ribosomal RNA", at positions 8 to 775 of the family's 1533-position model. Lineage: Bacteria; Pseudomonadati; Pseudomonadota; Gammaproteobacteria; Enterobacterales; Enterobacteriaceae. The record is from RNAcentral.